CGUGGGGGAUAGACUCCCCCACGAACAGGAGUGGGGACACCACAGCCUGGACUGUGGUGGGCAGAACUUCCUUAGGCAGUCUAAGGAGGGACUGAGUGAGGCUGGAUCCCUUUGGUUCCUGGAGGCCGUUUGGGUCUGUUUGACAACUUCCUGCGCCUGCGGCUGCGAGACUCCAGCCUGGGCGCUGUGUGUGCGGCCCUCGACUGGCUGGCCUUCGAUGACCUGCUGGCGGGGGCUGCUCACCACAGCCAGAGCUUCCAGCUGCUGCGCUAUCCGCCCUUCCUGCCCGUGGCCUUCCACGUGCUCUUUGCUUCCAGCCACACACCCAGGAUCACCUUCCCCAGCAGCCAGCAGGAGGCCCAGAACCGGAUGAGCCAGAUGAGGAACCUUAUCCAGACGCUGGUGUCCGGCAUUGCGCCAGCUACGCGCAGCCGGGCCACGCCCCAGGCCCUGCUCCUGGAUGCCCUCUGCCUGCUCCUGGACAUUCUUGCGCCCAAGCUCCGCCCCGUGAGCACGCAGCUGUACAGCACCCGUGAGAAGCAACAGCUGGCCAGCCUGGUGGGCACGAUGCUCACUUACAGCCUGACCUACCGCCAGGAGCGCACGCCCGAUGGCCAGUACAUCUACAGGCUGGAGCCGAACGUGGAGGAACUCUGCCGCUUCCCUGAGCUGCCUGCCCG
This 680-nucleotide small RNA is filed under the name Pongo abelii (Sumatran orangutan). Its description in RNAcentral is "processed transcript". Lineage: Eukaryota; Metazoa; Chordata; Mammalia; Primates; Hominidae. The record is from RNAcentral.